Molecule: transfer RNA, 72 nt
Filed under: Microbotryum lychnidis-dioicae
Lineage: Eukaryota; Fungi; Basidiomycota; Microbotryomycetes; Microbotryales; Microbotryaceae
Also listed under: 3 other names
Description: tRNA-Asn
Rfam family: tRNA
About the family: Transfer RNA (tRNA) molecules are approximately 80 nucleotides in length. Their secondary structure includes four short double-helical elements and three loops (D, anti-codon, and T loops). Further hydrogen bonds mediate the characteristic L-shaped molecular structure. tRNAs have two regions of fundamental functional importance: the anti-codon, which is responsible for specific mRNA codon recognition, and the 3' end, to which the tRNAs corresponding amino acid is attached (by aminoacyl-tRNA synthetases). tRNAs cope with the degeneracy of the genetic code in two manners: having more than one tRNA (with a specific anti-codon) for a particular amino acid; and 'wobble' base-pairing, i.e. permitting non-standard base-pairing at the 3rd anti-codon position.
Source: RNAcentral
GUCUCUAGGGCUAUACGGUGCAGCGAAGAACUGUUAAUUCUUAGAUAGUUGGUUCGACUCCAAUUAGGGACU